This 81-nucleotide transfer RNA is filed under the name Paragonimus westermani. Its description in RNAcentral is "tRNA-Leu". It matches the Rfam family "tRNA". Rfam says of the family: Transfer RNA (tRNA) molecules are approximately 80 nucleotides in length. Their secondary structure includes four short double-helical elements and three loops (D, anti-codon, and T loops). Further hydrogen bonds mediate the characteristic L-shaped molecular structure. tRNAs have two regions of fundamental functional importance: the anti-codon, which is responsible for specific mRNA codon recognition, and the 3' end, to which the tRNAs corresponding amino acid is attached (by aminoacyl-tRNA synthetases). tRNAs cope with the degeneracy of the genetic code in two manners: having more than one tRNA (with a specific anti-codon) for a particular amino acid; and 'wobble' base-pairing, i.e. permitting non-standard base-pairing at the 3rd anti-codon position. The record is from RNAcentral. Lineage: Eukaryota; Metazoa; Platyhelminthes; Trematoda; Plagiorchiida; Troglotrematidae.
GGCUCCGUAGCUCAGCUGGUAGAGCGCUCGCCGCAUUGAGACAUGCUGUGUCUGUAGCUGGUUCGAAUCCAGCCGAAGCCC